Oncorhynchus kisutch (coho salmon) is the source of this 777-nucleotide long non-coding RNA. RefSeq lists it as uncharacterized. The record is from RefSeq and is a predicted model, not a curated record. Lineage: Eukaryota; Metazoa; Chordata; Actinopteri; Salmoniformes; Salmonidae. The transcript has 2 exons.
CUUCACUCACACUCAGAGAGCAGCAGAGAGGGGUGGAGCACAUAUGUUGUCAAUACGUUUUAAUUACUUGUUCUAAUUCUCCCUUUCCUGUGCUGGACGUGCUAAGACACACUUCCCUCCCGAAGAUUUAUUGCUGUGGAGUGGAGGUGGUCCUUAAGUGGAGCUAUAGUCCCCCCAUCAGGCUAGUUAUGGAAAUGCGCAAAUCUCCAAUUCUCCUCCAUUAGAGGAAAUGGCUGUGAGAAGUUGCGUCGGUCCCUACAGAAUGCUGAAGCCAUCAUACGAAGCAUUGGGGAGUGCUGGUGUUCCGGUUGGUGGUGACGUCGGGUCCGGAGGCCGCCACCGAUGGAACCGGGGGUGCCUAAGCCAGCUCGUCGGGCUGUCACGCCCUAGCUGGCUCGAGAGGUUCUUGCCCCGAUUGGCUCGGAAGGCGCCCAUCCCACGUCAGACCUCAGCCAAAUUGUCAGGUUUUUACGCCCAGCUGGCUCGUCAGGCUGCUACGCCUGUACCUGCUUCACAUCUCCAGCAUCGGUCUCUACACAACAAGUCACAUAAUAAGUUGUGUGUACUCACUGUGUGCAAUAAUAGUGAUAAGCAUGAUUUUUUUUAUGACUAACUCGUCUCUGUACCCCACACAUACAAUUAUCUGUAAGAUCCCUCAAUCGAGCAGGGAAUUUCAAACACAGAUUCAACCACAAUGACCAGGGAGGUUGUCCAAUGCCUCAGAAAGAAGGGCAGCUUUUGGUGGAUGGGUGUAAAAUAAAAAAAGCAGACAUUGAA